This 505-nucleotide ribosomal RNA is filed under the name uncultured bacterium. RNAcentral's name for it is "partial 16S ribosomal RNA". It matches the Rfam family "Bacterial small subunit ribosomal RNA", at positions 28 to 507 of the family's 1533-position model. The record is from RNAcentral.
GACGAACGCUGGCGGCGUGCCUAAUACAUGCAAGUAGAACGCACAGUUUAUACCGUAGCUUGCUACACCAUAAACUGUGAGUUGCGAACGGGUGAGUAACGCGUAGGUAACCUGCCUGGUAGCGGGGGAUAACUAUUGGAAACGAUAGCUAAUACCGCAUAAUAUUUAUUAUUGCAUGAUAAUUGAUUGAAAGAUGCUAUUGCAUCACUACCAGAUGGACCUGCGUUGUAUUAGCUAGUAGGUGAGGUAACGGCUCACCUAGGCGACGAUACAUAGCCGACCUGAGAGGGUGAUCGGCCACACUGGGACUGAGACACGGCCCAGACGACUACGGGAGGCAGCAGUAGGGAAUCUUAGGCAAUGGACGAAAGUCUGACCGAGCAACGCCGCGUGAGGGAAGAAGGUUUUCGGAUCGUAAAGCUCUGUUGUAAGAGAAGAACGGGUGUGAGAGUGGAAAGUUCACACUGUGACGGUAUCUUACCAGAAAGGGACGGCUAACUACGUG